UUUCGCGCGAUCGCCUUGAGUUGAUCAUGGCUCAGAAUCAACGCUGGCGGCGUGCCUAACACAUGCAAGUCGAACGCGGUUAUCCCGCAAGGGAUGACUGAGUGGCGAACGGGUGAGUAACACGUGGGUGACCUACCUUCGAGUAGGGGAUAACGUCCCGAAAGGGACGCUAAUACCGCAUAACAUCCUGCCUUUGAACAGGUGGAGAUCAAAGCCGGGGACCGCAAGGCCCGGCGCUUGGUGAGGGGCCCGCGUCCGAUUAGCUAGUUGGUGAGGUAAUGGCUCACCAAGGCAACGAUCGGUAGCCGGCCUGAGAGGGCGGACGGCCGCACUGGGACUGAGACACGGCCCAGACUCCUACGGGAGGCAGCAGUGGGGAAUUGUUCGCAAUGGGCGCAAGCCUGACGACGCAACGCCGCGUGGAGGAUUAAGGUCUUCGGAUUGUAAACUCCUGUUGCCCGGGACGAACAGCUUUGACCUAAUACGUCAAAGUCUGACGGUACCGGGUGAGGAAGCCCCGGCUAACUCUGUGCCAGCAGCCGCGGUAAUACAGAGGGGGCAAGCGUUGUUCGGAAUUACUGGGCGUAAAGGGCGCGUAGGCGGCCUGCUAAGUCGAACGUGAAAUCCCCGGGCUCAACCCGGGAACUGCGUCCGAUACUGGCAGGCUUGAAUUCGGGAGAGGGAUGCGGAAUUCCAGGUGUAGCGGUGAAAUGCGUAGAUAUCUGGAGGAACACCGGUGGCGAAGGCGGCAUCCUGGACCGAAUUGAC
This 768-nucleotide ribosomal RNA is filed under the name uncultured bacterium. RNAcentral describes it as "bacterial SSU rRNA". It matches the Rfam family "Bacterial small subunit ribosomal RNA", at positions 1 to 744 of the family's 1533-position model. The record is from RNAcentral.